UCCUGCAGCUCACACUAGGUAAUCAAUGUGAAGCUGAGCUGGUUUAGACCUGCCCAGGACUUGGAUGUGAGACCAACUAGGAAAGCUGGGUUGCUGCUGGAA
This 102-nucleotide ribosomal RNA is filed under the name Paramormyrops kingsleyae. Lineage: Eukaryota; Metazoa; Chordata; Actinopteri; Osteoglossiformes; Mormyridae. The record is from RNAcentral.